CCUACGGGAGGCAGCAGUCGGGAAUUUUGGGCAAUGGGCGAAAGCCUGACCCAGCAACGCCGCGUGAAGGAUGAAGUAUUUCGGUAUGUAAACUUCGAAAGAAUGGGAAGAAUAAAUGACGGUACCAUUUAUAAGGUCCGGCUAACUACGUGCCAGCAGCCGCGGUAAUACGUAGGGACCAAGCGUUGUUCGGAUUUACUGGGCGUAAAGGGCGCGUAGGCGGCCUAACAAGUCACUUGUGAAAUCUCCGGGCUUAACUCGGAACGGCCAAGUGAAACUGUUAGGCUAGAGUGCAGAAGGGGCAAUCGGAAUUCUUGGUGUAGCGGUGAAAUGCGUAGAUAUCAAGAGGAACACCUGAGGUGAAGACGGGUUGCUGGGCUGACACUGACGCUGAGGCGCGAAAGCCAGGGGAGCAAACGGGAUUAGAUACCCGUGUANUC
RNAcentral lists this ribosomal RNA (440 nucleotides) under uncultured bacterium. RNAcentral describes it as "bacterial SSU rRNA". It matches the Rfam family "Bacterial small subunit ribosomal RNA", at positions 338 to 795 of the family's 1533-position model. The record is from RNAcentral.